UCAUGGACUCAUGAAAGUGUUUGCUUCCUCCUAUAUAUCUGAUAUAUCCCCAAAAUCUUUUCUCUCUCUCCAUAGGCCUUUCCCAAAAGAGAUAUAUGUCACACUUUGGAAUUUCACUUCUCAUGCAGGCAUGAAGUUAUUCUGUCACCAAUUAGACCAGAAGGAGCAGAACCAGGAGAACAUUGUACAGAGACUGAUACGCUGUGAUACAAUUGAAUGUAAUGGACUUCUCCAUUAGUGGCAACACAUUGAUCCUGAACAACUUGGAGGAAUCUACCAGAAAGAACAUUAUCCACAUUCAGAGGAAAAACUGUGGAAGUAGAAACACAAAAGAAAAACAACUGCUUGGUCACAUGGGUCGAGGGGGAUAUGAUUAGGGAUGUAGACUCUAAAUGAACAUCCUAAUGCAAACACCAACAACUUAGAAAUAGGUUCUGAUCAAGGACACAAGAAAUACCCAAUGAAACUGCGUGUCAGCUGUGGGAAGGAUGGGAGGAGGGAAGGAGGGAAAUAAUGUGAUUCUUGUAACCAAG
This 533-nucleotide long non-coding RNA is filed under the name Monodelphis domestica (gray short-tailed opossum). RNAcentral's name for it is "lncRNA (ENSMODG00000033378.2)". The record is from RNAcentral. Lineage: Eukaryota; Metazoa; Chordata; Mammalia; Didelphimorphia; Didelphidae.